GCGAACAAUACAGUCAAGAUGGCUAAAGGUGACCCCAAGAUACCAAAGGGCAAGAUGUCUGCCUAUGCCUUCUUUGUGCAGACAUGCAGAGAAGAACAUAAGAAGAAAAACCCAGAGGCCCCUGUAAAUUUUGCAGAAUUUUCCAAGAAGUGCUCUGAAAGGUGGAAGGCAAUGUCUGGGAAAGAGAAGUCUAAAUUUGAUGAAAUGGCAAAGGCUGAUAGAAGUCCGCUAUGAUAGGGAAAUGAAGGGUUAUGGACCGGCUAAAGGAGGAAAGAAGAAGGACCCGAAUGCCCCCAAGAGGCCAUCGUCUGGAUUUUUCCUCUUCUGUUCAGAAUUCCGCCCCAAGAUCAAGUCUACAAAUCCUGGUAUCUCUAUUGGAGAUGUGGCAAAAAAGCUAGGUGAGAUGUGGAAUAACUUAAGUGACAGUGAAAAGCAGCCUUACAUCACUAAGGCAGCCAAGCUGAAGGAGAAGGAUGAGAAGGAUGUCGCUGACUACAAGUCUAAAGGAAAGUUUGAUGGUGCAAAGGGUCCCACUAAAGUUGCCAGGAAAAAGGUGGAAGAGGAAGAUGAAGAAGAUGAAGAGGAGGAGGAGGAAGAGGAUGAAUAAAAAACUGUUUAUCUGUCUCCUUGUGAAUACCUUAGAGUAGGGGAGCGCCGUAAAUGACACAUCUCUUAAUUGAAAAAUGUCUAUUGCCCUCAUUAGGUUUAAUCACAAAAUUUGAUCAUGAUCAUAUUAUAGUCUCAAAGUGCUCUAGAAAUUGUCAGUGGUUUACAUGAAGUGACCAUAGGUGUCUGGAGCACCCUGAAACUGUAUCAAAGUUGUACAUAUUUCCAAACAUUUUUAAAAUGAAAAGGCACUCUUGUGUUCUCCUCACUCUGUGCACUUUGCUGUUGGUGUGACAAGGCAUUUAAAGAUGUUUCUGGCAUUUUUUUUUAAUUUGUAAGGUGUUAACUGUAUGGUUAUUGGCUAGAAAUCCUGAGUUAUCAACUGUACAUAUCUAUAGUUUGUA
This is an RNA transcript of Otolemur garnettii (small-eared galago), 1010 nucleotides long. It is a transcript of the gene named high mobility group protein B3 pseudogene, with no coding region annotated. The transcript has a single exon. NCBI's taxonomy places the organism in Eukaryota, Metazoa, Chordata, Mammalia, Primates, Galagidae. The record is from RefSeq and is a predicted model, not a curated record.